RNAcentral lists this long non-coding RNA (2593 nucleotides) under Homo sapiens (human). RNAcentral's name for it is "HSALNT0197629". The record is from RNAcentral. Lineage: Eukaryota; Metazoa; Chordata; Mammalia; Primates; Hominidae.
AUCCAUUUCUUCUAGAUUUUCUAGUUUAUUUGCAUAGAGGUGUCCUACUUUUUUAAAUUAAAAAUAAUAAAUUGUGCUGUCGGCAUGAAGUCAAAACUUGAUUCCAUUAAAAAAAAAAAAAAAAAAAAAAAGAUGUGUGGGAGUGUUUGGCUCGGACAGCAGCAGAAAUCUUUAAGCCAGGAAGACUGAACAGGCACAAGCAGAGAAGCCUGAGGAUGCAUCACAGAAGCCAGGCGAGGCCCAGGCCAGCUCAAUGCAGGGCACUGAGUAAUGAGGAAAGGACACUGACGACUGCGGGCCCCAACCAAAGGGAAGCCAGGGUGACAGUUCCCCCAGGCCCGGCCGUCCAGCCCAGGACUGCAGCUUCACCAUCAGUGUUUACAGCAAGAGCCUGUGCAGGAGCCAAAGGGAGGAACAGAAGGAGGUGUGGGAGAGUAAGCCCUUCCGCUUGUGGGCAGAUGCGCUGUCUUGAAGAGUGCUUGGCAUCUUCAAGUAAAAUUAGGGUUCCUGGGCCGCAGCCUCCAGUUUCUAACCUAGCAUCAGAAGGGACAAAUGAAGCUGAUCUUAAGCGAGCAACCUGAUAACCCACCUGCCAGAUUAGGAAAAGCAGGAAUAGACUGCUAAUGCAUCUGCUGGUCCUGGCUGGGCUUUUAAUAUGUAACCCCCACUGAUACCCCAGCUUCCUGUCUUACAGGUACAAGAAGACUGCUGUGAGGUGAAGCUCACAGGGGCAGCCAGGUGACAAGAAGUAAUAUAUUACCUGUUACUUGCACCUGAAGAGUCACGGGGCGGCCUCCAGGACUCACAAUCAUUGCAGAGCACUCACUCCCAACCAGGCACGUCUACAUUAGAAUCCUCUUUGCUGAUUGCUUUUCUCUGGAUACUGCCCUUGCAGGCAGGGCUGGACAGAAAAUGUCCUGGGUAGGACAGAUGAGAACGCCUGGGCUGGGACUGCAGAAGGCAGGUGAGUUCCAAGCCUCUGCUACUCCACGUGUGGCACUUGGACCUGCAGCACAGAAUCCCCUGGGAGCCUGUCAGAAAUGCAGAGUCCCAGGCCUAGCAGUCAGCAUCAGGUGGGUCAUGAGCACCCUGCUCUGAGGAGCACAGGGCUGAGCCACAGCCAGGAGGAAAGCUGCUUUCUCCAGUCAGCACCACACAGAGGGUCAGGAAAUGCACGUGCUAUGGCCAUUUUGGUUAAGGUGAGAUCAGCUGUGAGCCACUGAAAACCACAAACACAGGAGUUUAAACAAGACAGGAGUUUCCUUCUCUCUCACGAAACAGCAUAGAGAAAUGUAGUCCUGGGCUGGCGUCAUUGUUCACCUUUAUAAAGGCAGGAGACUACUCCAUCUUUCUUCCCUGGCGUCUUCGAUAGUUGAUCCUCCUCAUGUUCCAAGAUGGCUGCAUGAGCUCCAGCCCCCACACUGCACUCCAUCAGCCUGGAACAGGGAGGCCACCAUCCUUAUCUGACUCUACUCUCUUCUCCAGUCACCUGACACUUGCGCGCAGCUUCACACAAAGCAUAGCAGCCGUCACCUGCAUCCUGGGACAAGCCCUGGGAAAGCCUAAGUAAUUCUGCCGUGGAGCCAGGCAGGAGGAUCUGUGUGCCCUGUGUCCCCCACCCCACAUGGAAAGAGCCUGACCAACAUCCGUCUACAGGACCCACCAGGGAGGAAAGAGAAAAAGUCACUUCAUUUAGGAAACAUCUCUCAAAACCCAGGAGAUCUGCAGGACUGGGAGUAGAACAGAGGGAAGGCGCUGUUUGCAAUCUCACUGACAAUCACAGCAUGUUAACCUAAUAGAAGCAGAGGAGUCUCCAGCAUAUCCAAUUAUGUUAGCAGGCUGGGCAGGAGUCAGGCCAUUAUCUCACUCAUCUGGACGGACUCCAUUAUGCCAUUGCUCUUUCUUGAUUAAAUCUUCUCUAACGAUGUCUGUCCAGGGAGGGAGAGAAUCAUUGCAUCUGCUGGAGGAGAUGUGACGGUGGCAGGUGGUGUCCCCAAGGACCAGCACCACCUAGCCCCUCUCCCAGCCCUGGGGCCUUGAGCUGGUUUCACCCCUAACCUCUGCCCUUGACCACAGUGAGGAGCAUUGUUCCUACUAAUGGUCACUCCAACCUGUGGCUCAUCUUUGAUUCUGUCUUCUUCAUUCUCUCGGAAACACUUUAGACAGCUGACUAGUUCUUCCACCUUGUAAAUGAACUAUUGAUUGUUCUCUCUGGCACUGCAUUCUCAAUCUUCCUCCUGCCUCUGUGACUUUUUAUCUGUCUCCACUAUUGUCUUGUCUCUGCCUCAUGACACCUAAACGUAGAUAUUCCCCAAGGCUCGAUUAUCAGCCACGCUCUCUUUGGAAACUCUCACUUGGGACUCCAUCUCCCCCAUAUGAAACAUUUCCUUCUCUGCAUCUCCAGUUCAACUCUCUCUCCCCACACUCUGUCUCCUCUGAAGUCCUGCCGUGUGACAUCCCUGGCAUGGGCAGGGCACAUCCAGUCAUCCGACACCCCAACACCCACUCUCACCAUUCUCCCGACACCCAGGUCCACAUCGUCUCAUGAUCCACAACUAAGGUUUAGGAGUGUGUUGGAUCUGACCACUGGGAG